CAGUAUUCUUUUGCCAGCGCUUAACUGCGCGGCGAAAAACCUUACACACAGUGUCUUUUUGAUACAGAACUCUUGCUUUGGUUUGGCCUAGAGAUAGGUUGGGCCAGAGGUUUAACAAAACACAAUUUAAUUAUUUUUACAGUUAGUCAAAUUUUGAAUUAAUCUUCA
This 168-nucleotide unclassified non-coding RNA is filed under the name uncultured fungus. RNAcentral's name for it is "sequence contains ITS1, 5.8S rRNA gene". RNAcentral also lists the same sequence under 1 other name. Lineage: Eukaryota; Fungi. The record is from RNAcentral.